UGUAUUCACUACUGUAAGUCGCUCUGGAUAAGAGUGUCUGCUAAAUUACUGAAA
Molecule: non-coding RNA, 54 nt
Organism: Salmo salar (Atlantic salmon)
Lineage: Eukaryota; Metazoa; Chordata; Actinopteri; Salmoniformes; Salmonidae
Source: Rfam